AUCAGAAAUAACUGCAUCAUCAGCUGGAACAACUGGUAAUGGCAGACUGUCAGAUGGAGUGACAAGCAAAACUGAACAGUCAACUGGAGUAGCUGGGACAAGUGGACCGUCAGGCACUGCUAACGAGCUGUAUGGAUCCACCACUGGAGCAGGUGGAAGUGUGACCAGAUUAACCAGUCCUGGAAAAUCAGGUACAAUGGGAGUGCCAGCUACAACCUCCACAGCAACAAGAGGCAGCAGCACAGCCUUCACAGCAGGUUCUACAGAAAUUGGGCCUGACUUGACAAUUGCACCAGGAACUAUCCCUAUUGAAACUUCUGGCAGUGUCACAAGCAAAGCCCUGGAAACUGGAGCUUACAUCACAGAUGCCACAACUGCUACAGGGACCACCAGUGCAGUGCUAUCUAGAGUGACCACCAUCAUUUUCACUGAAAUCAGAACUACUUCAGAAGUUUCCACCACAGAGGCCACAACUUUAGCAGGAGGCAGCAGCACUCCUGGAAGUGGGUCCAGACCAGGUACCACCACAACACCAGGAAGCCAUGCAACUGGGAUUCUGACAGAGGCUACAACUUCCACAGAAGGGCCUGGUACUACUGAGACUGGACUGAAAACAGGCACCUCUGGGGUAGAUUCCAGCACAACUGCCCCUGGAAGUUCUGGCACUGCAGCCACAACUUCCCCUGGAGAAAACAGAACAACUAGAGUUCGAACCACUGCAGGAACUUCUAGAGUAGCCUCUGCUACAACAGCCACCGCUACAAGGAAUUCUGCUACAACAACCUCUCUUUCAACAGCUGCCCAUGAGGACACCAACUCAGGAGUUACAGCAUCCUCUAGAGGUGGUACAACCAAAGAAGGUGG
This 864-nucleotide long non-coding RNA is filed under the name Heterocephalus glaber (naked mole-rat). Its description in RNAcentral is "lncRNA (ENSHGLG00100044316.1)". The record is from RNAcentral. Lineage: Eukaryota; Metazoa; Chordata; Mammalia; Rodentia; Bathyergidae.